AGAUGAGAUAAUUCAGAAAUCAUGUUAACCCCCUAGAGUUGAUGUCUGUAGCUUCUGAACAGUUUGGCCUACAAAACUAAUAUGAUCACUCUAUGGAAAGAUGAGACUCUCACAAGACACUAUGUUGCCUAAAAGCCUGGUAUGAAGGUAGCCUGGUAUGGAGGUAGCCUGGUAGGGAGGUAGCCUGGUAUAAAGGUAUUCUUGGAUGUAGGUAGCCUGUUAGGAAGGUAGUCUGUUAGGAAGGUAGCCUGUUAGGAAGGUAGCCUGGUAGGAAGGUAGCCCGGUAGGGAGGUAGCCUGGUAGGGAGGUAGCCUGGUAGGGAGGUAUUCUUGUAUGAAGGUAGCCUGGUAGGGAGGUAGCCUGGUAGGGAGGUAUUCUUGUAUGAAGGUAGCCUGGUAGGAAGGUAUACUUAUAUGAAGGUAGCCUGGUAGGGAGGUAACCUGGUAGGGAGGUAUUCUUGUAUGAAGGUAGCCUGGUAGGAAGGUAUACUUAUAUGAAGGUAGCCUGGUAUGAAGGUAGCCUGGUAUGAAGGUAUUCUUGUAUGAAGGUAGCCUGGUAGGAAGGUAGCCUGGUAGGGAGGUAGCCUGGUAUGGAGGUAGCCUGGUAUGGAGGUAGCCUGGUAUGGAGGUAGCCUGGUAGGGAGGUAGCCUGGUAUAAAGGUAUUCUUGGAUGAAGGUAGCCUGUUAGGAAGGUAGUCUGUUAGGAAGGUAGCCUGGUAGGAAGGUAGCCUGGUAGGAAGGUAGCCCGGUAGGGAGGUAGCCUGGUAGGGAGGUAGCCUGGUAGGGAGGUAUUCUUGUAUGAAGGUAGCCUGGUAGGGAGGUAGCCUGGUAGGGAGGUAUUCUUGUAUGAAGGUAGCCUGGUAGGGAG
This 867-nucleotide long non-coding RNA is filed under the name Salmo salar (Atlantic salmon). RNAcentral's name for it is "lncRNA (ENSSSAG00000122175.1)". The record is from RNAcentral. Lineage: Eukaryota; Metazoa; Chordata; Actinopteri; Salmoniformes; Salmonidae.